This 391-nucleotide ribosomal RNA is filed under the name uncultured bacterium. RNAcentral describes it as "bacterial SSU rRNA". It matches the Rfam family "Bacterial small subunit ribosomal RNA", at positions 28 to 419 of the family's 1533-position model. The record is from RNAcentral.
GACGAACGCUGGCGGCGUGCUUAACACAUGCAAGUCGAGCGGUAAGGCCCUUUCGGGGGUACACGAGCGGCGAACGGGUGAGUAACACGUGGGUGACCUGCCCUUAGCUCUGGGAUAAGCCUGGGAAACUGGGUCUAAUACCGGAUAUGACUCCAUGACGCAUGUUGUGGGGUGGGAAAGCCUUGUGCGGCUAGGGAUGGGCCCGCGGCCUAUCAGCUUGUUGGUGGGGUGAUGGCCUACCAAGGCGACGACGGGUAGCCGGCCUGAGAGGGCGACCGGCCACACUGGGACUGAGACACGGCCCAGACUCCUACGGGAGGCAGCAGUGGGGAAUCUUGCGCAAUGGGCGAAAGCCUGACGCAGCGACGCCGCGUGAGGGAUGACGGCCUGG